UGGACGCCGGGAAUAAGAAAAUUUAGUCUGCUCUUAUGGAGGGGAAAGUUAUUCUUCUUUGCCUUAUGGUGCUUGUGCAGCUAGGAAACUCCAUUGAUGGUAAGGAAUCAAUCUCCCUGUCCAUGUAUGUUUACUUUAUCCUGUAAACAGGAGUAGAGUAAUAAUAUUGCCAGUGAAAUUGAACGAAUUUAUCUAUAAUUUUCUCAGUAUGGACUUCUUUUAAUGAUGUGCAUUCUUGUCUACAGAUCAUUGCGAGAUGCGAACUAUUCUUUCAAGUCCUAAGUGCACCGGCUCAACUUGCCAGACGGCCUGCCAAAAAAUUUGGGGACCAGACGUCAAGAGAGCUGACUGUAGGGUUGUCGACCAUCACAAGUAUUGUGACUGCAUCAUCUGUUACUAGAGUUGCACUAAACGGAAAAUGUUAGGAUCCAAUAAUAAAAUCUUUGUGUGACAUGCAUUCAAGGUCGUAUAUUGAUCACCAAUUUUGGAUGUUCU
RNAcentral lists this long non-coding RNA (495 nucleotides) under Triticum aestivum (bread wheat). RNAcentral describes it as "long non-coding RNA (TAES_LNC013780)". The record is from RNAcentral. Lineage: Eukaryota; Viridiplantae; Streptophyta; Magnoliopsida; Poales; Poaceae.